CUGAGGGUCAUUCAUAUGUAAAUUCGGCCUAAGGCCUUGGUGGUUGGUCUUUUUUGGACUUAUUCACACAAAUUUGUGCUGUUAUAAGACCUCAGAUGAUUUCCAGCUACCACUGCGUCACAUCAGUGAUGCCAACUUUAGUGUUGAUGGGUUAAGUAAACCAUACCUACAACCAGUAGUGCAGCCUUAAUACACCUCUGCAGAAAUAAUGAAAACCACAGGAGUAUUUAUCUUGCUUUAUGUGUAAGCCUAUUAGAAAUAACAAAAUUUAGCAUUUUUUCUACGGGGAAAGGCUAUGAUACACUGUCUAAGCAGUUUCAUUUCUUUCAUAUUGACAGUUCAGGAGUCGCUGCUGCUGCUGCUGCUAACAGGGAUGGCAUGGCUAGAGUACUGUAUGAGUAAGUUUGGUCCCCUUGUCAUUCUAUGCUAACAACCCAGUUAUGAGGCCAAACUCUUUCAUCCAUAUAAAAUUGAAAACAAUUCCAUGGUGAAAGGCUCCCUUUCUCCCUAAUUUGGAGGGAUGAACCAGUGAAAGAAAAAAUGAUGCAGAAGUAAUAUAAGCCUGGUUUCAACAGCUCACAGAAUCUGCUCAGUGGCAACUUUCUAGCAAUGAGAAUUUAUGCUGCUUUGUCAUGCCCAUGCAUACAGCUGCAGGGAUAGUAAAUAGCUUGCUGCCAGGAUGCUUCUCUUUCCAACUUUUACUGA
This is a long non-coding RNA of Parus major (Great Tit), 705 nucleotides long. RefSeq lists it as uncharacterized. The transcript is spliced from 3 exons. Lineage: Eukaryota; Metazoa; Chordata; Aves; Passeriformes; Paridae. The record is from RefSeq and is a predicted model, not a curated record.